RNAcentral lists this transfer RNA (76 nucleotides) under Mycoplasmataceae bacterium. RNAcentral describes it as "tRNA-Lys". It matches the Rfam family "tRNA". From Rfam's summary of the family: Transfer RNA (tRNA) molecules are approximately 80 nucleotides in length. Lineage: Bacteria; Bacillati; Mycoplasmatota; Mollicutes; Mycoplasmatales; Mycoplasmataceae. The record is from RNAcentral.
GUACCGUUAGCUCAGUUGGUAGAGCAAAAGACUCUUAAUCUUUGGGUCGUGGGUUCGAUCCCCUCACGGUGCACCA